CCUGACCUCAACCCGAUUGAGAUGCUGUGGCAUGACCUCAAGAAAGCGAUUCACACCAGACAUCCUAAGAAUAUUGCUGAACUGAAACAGUUCUGUAAAGAGGAAUGGUCAAGAAUUACUCCUGACCGUUGUGCACGUCUGAUCUGCAACUACAGGAAACGUUUGGUUGAAGUUAUUGCUGCCAAAGGUUCAACCAGUUAUUAAAUCCAAGGUUUCACAUAUUUUUUCCACCUGCACUGUGAAU
This 244-nucleotide long non-coding RNA is filed under the name Pelobates cultripes (western spadefoot toad). Lineage: Eukaryota; Metazoa; Chordata; Amphibia; Anura; Pelobatidae. The record is from RNAcentral.